Molecule: long non-coding RNA, 315 nt
Organism: Corticium candelabrum
Lineage: Eukaryota; Metazoa; Porifera; Homoscleromorpha; Homosclerophorida; Plakinidae
Exons: 3
Source: RefSeq, a predicted model, not a curated record
GAAACUGCGAUGAAACCAUCUCGUGGCAUGAGAAAGCUAGACAAUUGCUGCAAGAACAGGAUCGCUCAUCUCGAAGAGACGGACUCGUUGCUACAAAUUUGCAUUACUUGUCUCGCGACCUUGACGAGAAAGGAUGUUAUGAAGAAGCUAUAAAGCUGUGUUUGGAAGCAAUAGAAAUGGAACAAGAGAGUCAUUCUCCAAAUCAUCUUCAUAUUGCAAUUUAUAUGAUAAGCUUAGGUUCGUAUGAAAUCAAGGCCGCAAGACUUGAAUCGUCUAUAACCCAUUUGCAAUCUUCCUUGUCAGUUUUGAAAGACA